This 252-nucleotide ribosomal RNA is filed under the name uncultured bacterium. RNAcentral's name for it is "partial 16S ribosomal RNA". It matches the Rfam family "Bacterial small subunit ribosomal RNA", at positions 79 to 334 of the family's 1533-position model. The record is from RNAcentral.
AAACUGGAGAUGGCGACCGGCGCACGGGUGAGUAACACGUAUCCAACCUGCCGAUAACUCGGGGAUAGCCUUUCGAAAGAAAGAUUAAUACCGAUAUAUAAUGAAACCGCAUGGUCUUAUUAUUAAAGAAUUUCGGUUAUCGAUGGGGGUGCGUUCCAUUAGGCAGUUGGUGAGGUAACGGCUCACCAAACCUUCGAUGGAUAGGGGUUCUGAGAGGAAGGUCCCCCACAUUGGAACUGAGACACGGUCCAA